ACUCCUACGGGAGGCAGCAGUGGGGAAUUUUGCGCAAUGGGGGAAACCCUGNNNCAGCAACGCCGCGUGGGUGAUGAAGGCCUUCGGGUCGUAAAGCUCUGUCUGGAGGGAAGAAAUGAUUGGGAGCUAAUACCUCUUGAUCUUGACGGUACCUCUGAAGGAAGCACCGGCUAACUCCGUGCCAGCAGCCGCGGUAAU
RNAcentral lists this ribosomal RNA (198 nucleotides) under uncultured bacterium. RNAcentral describes it as "partial 16S ribosomal RNA". It matches the Rfam family "Bacterial small subunit ribosomal RNA", at positions 335 to 524 of the family's 1533-position model. The record is from RNAcentral.